Molecule: ribosomal RNA, 497 nt
Filed under: uncultured bacterium
Lineage: Bacteria
Description: partial 16S ribosomal RNA
Rfam family: Bacterial small subunit ribosomal RNA
Source: RNAcentral
GAUGAACGCUGGCGGCGUGCCUAAUACAUGCAAGUCGAGCGAACAGACGAGGAGCUUGCUCCUCUGACGUUAGCGGCGGACGGGUGAGUAACACGUGGAUAACCUACCUAUAAGACUGGGAUAACUUCGGGAAACCGGAGCUAAUACCGGAUAACAUGUUGAACCACAUGGUUCAACAGUGAAAGACGGUCUUGCUGUCACUUAUAGAUGGAUCCGCGCCGCAUUAGCUAGUUGGUAAGGUAACGGCUUACCAAGGCAACGAUGCGUAGCCGACCUGAGAGGGUGAUCGGCCACACUGGAACUGAGACACGGUCCAGACUCCUACGGGAGGCAGCAGUAGGGAAUCUUCCGCAAUGGGCGAAAGCCUGACGGAGCAACGCCGCGUGAGUGAAGAAGGUCUUCAGAUCGUAAAACUCUGUUAUUAGGGAAGAACAAAUGUGUAAGUAACUAUGCACGUCUUGACGGUACCUAAUCAGAAAGCCACGGCUAACUACGUG